GAAGGGAACUAAAUUAAUCUAGGAUGACCCAUAUUGUGCAGCAGCUAAUGACCCAGUUCACCUCUGGUUAAUUUUCUGCUUCUGGGUGUCCUGGGAACGGGUGGUGUUUACUCCAGUUGGGACAAACCUUUAUUAAUGAGCCAGAGUGUUGGCUGCUCUGGGCGGAGUGUUUUAAUAGAAAUCGGCCAAUGGGCCAGGGCGUGCUGAAGUUGCAGAAUAUGAAUGAGGCCCUUUUCUUUGCCCUCUCUCUCUUCCACCCUGAUUUGCAUAACUAAGCUUUCUGCCUUUUUAUCUUUUUAAUGUGUUUGUUUGUUGAUUAUUGAUCUGUCCCCUAUGGAGGGACAAAUCAUUCGCCCACCAGGCAGUGACCUAAAUUUGGCAGAAGCCCCAGCCAUGUCUGCAGCAAACUGGAGCCAGACAGUUAUACUUGUAUUUGUAGGGACAAUUCCAGGAGAAUUUAUAUGGCCCAAGGUUGUAAUGAUCAAAAUUACACUGGCCUCCAGCAGACUCAUUAAGGGGAAUCUUGGCAAAGGAAGACUUGAUGAGUAAGAAGAAAAGAAAAGAUCCUCUUUCAUGGAUUUGUUGGGUGGAAGAACAUGCAUAUGUUGAAGCUAGAGGCACUGGAGUGAUGGAUUCUGCCUAGGGCAAGACAGGACUUGAUUCUUGCUGGAGGAGCCAUCUGAGUUUGUGAAGGGCAAGGAGAGUGCAUGGGCCGAGAAAGGUGCUCCCAGGAGUGAUCCCUAAGGCAGCCAACAGUACCCCACUGUGCAGAUAAGAGAAAGAAACCGACGCAAAGGAAGUCUUCCUAACCAAAUUCCAUAGUGUAAAAAGCAAUGAUUUGGAAAUUGGAAGGCCUGGACUCUGACUUGGGGUCUGGAAUUCUCUCUCCAGGUGACCUUGGAAGCUGCAUGAAGACAGGGGUCUCAUCUGCCUUGGACAUCACUGAAUCCUAUGCACGGAGCACAAUGCCUGGAACGGGAGGAGCUCAAUGGUUACUGGUUGAAUUAAUACACUGAGGAAAU
Molecule: long non-coding RNA, 1022 nt
Organism: Homo sapiens (human)
Lineage: Eukaryota; Metazoa; Chordata; Mammalia; Primates; Hominidae
Source: Ensembl